CCGGGCGCCGGGAAAUGUGGUGUUAGGGAGGGUCCAUUAUCCCGAGAUCAUGCGGCGGUCCAAGUCCUUCUUGAACGGGGCCACAGCCCAUAGAGGGUGCCAGGCCCGUAGUGACCGCUGCUGAUCGCGGGAGGAUCUCUCCUCAGAGUCGGGUUGCUUGAGAGUGCAGCCCUAAGUGGGUGGUAAACUCCAUCUAAGGCUAAAUAUGACCACGAGACCGAUAGCGAACAAGUACCGUGAGGGAAAGUUGAAAAGCACUUUGAAGAGAGAGUUCAAGAGUACGUGAAACCGUUUAGGGGUAAACCUGAGAAACCCGAAAGGUCGAAGGGAGAAAUUCAUUCGCGUUUCGCCGUUGGCGUGAAGCGGUCGUGUGACGGAGAGCGUUCGCGCAUUUCCGCACCUUCCGUUUUUCGAUCCGAUAGCGAACGCGUGCACUUUUCUCCUGGUAGGACGUCGCGAUCCGUUGGGUGUUGGUCUACGGCAUGCGGUGGAGCCCGGACGUACGGCUUGCCGGUCACGUUCGAACCCGCGUGUCCCGGCUGACUCGCUCGACGGUAUACGAAAGGUUUAAGGCCGCUCACUUUGAGCGUUCGGCUCGCUGCAAGCGCGUCAGAUGUGUCGGCGAUCGGACCUAGUGCCGGUUCUGACCUCUGGCGACUGUUGGCCGCGAAGUUCUCGAACAGACCUUCAGACCGAUCUGCGACGCUAUAGCUUUGGGUACUUUCAGGACCCGUCUUGAA
This 740-nucleotide ribosomal RNA is filed under the name Paelocharis sp. NZAC 03037772. Its description in RNAcentral is "partial large subunit ribosomal RNA". It matches the Rfam family "Eukaryotic large subunit ribosomal RNA", at positions 129 to 658 of the family's 3401-position model. Lineage: Eukaryota; Metazoa; Arthropoda; Insecta; Coleoptera; Curculionidae. The record is from RNAcentral.